AAAGGAUGCAGUACUAGAAC
This 20-nucleotide unclassified non-coding RNA is filed under the name Mus musculus (house mouse). RNAcentral's name for it is "oocyte_clustered_small_RNA6080". Lineage: Eukaryota; Metazoa; Chordata; Mammalia; Rodentia; Muridae. The record is from RNAcentral.